AUUGAACGCUGGCGGCAGGCCUAACACAUGCAAGUCGGACGGUAGCACAGAGGAGCUUGCUCCUCGGGUGACGAGUGGCGGACGGGUGAGUAAUGUCUGGGGAUCUGCCCGAUAGAGGGGGAUAACCACUGGAAACGGUGGCUAAUACCGCAUGACGUCGCAAAACCAAAGAGGGGGACCUUCGGGCCUCUCACUAUCGGAUGAACCCAGAUGGGAUUAGCUAGUAGGCGGGGUAACGGCCCACCUAGGCGACGAUCCCUAGCUGGUCUGAGAGGAUGACCCGCCACACUGGAACAGAGACACGGUCCAGACUCCUACGGGAGGCAGCAGUGGGGAAUAUUGCACAAUGGGCGCAAGCCUGAUGCAGCCAUGCCGCGUGUAUGAAGAAGGCCUUCGGGUUGUAAAGUACUUUCAGCGGGGAGGAAGGCGAUGUGGUUAAUAACCGCGUCGAUUGACGUUACCCGCAGAAGAAGCACCGGCUAACUCCGUGCCAGCCGCCGCCGUAA
This 506-nucleotide ribosomal RNA is filed under the name uncultured bacterium. RNAcentral describes it as "partial 16S ribosomal RNA". It matches the Rfam family "Bacterial small subunit ribosomal RNA", at positions 29 to 523 of the family's 1533-position model. The record is from RNAcentral.